This 1673-nucleotide ribosomal RNA is filed under the name bioreactor metagenome. Its description in RNAcentral is "bacterial LSU rRNA". It matches the Rfam family "Bacterial large subunit ribosomal RNA", at positions 1225 to 2879 of the family's 2925-position model. The record is from RNAcentral.
AUGGUAGAGGAGCGUUGUGUAAGCCGUUGAAGCGAAAGCCGGGAGGCAUCGUGGAGGUAUCACAAGUGCGAAUGCUGACAUAAGUAACGAUAAGACGAGUGAAAAACUCGUCCGCCGGAAGACCAAGGUUUCCUAUCCAAUGUUAAUCAGGGUAGGGUGAGUCGGCCCCUAAGGCGAGGCAGAAAUGCGUAGUCGAUGGGAAACGGGCUAAUAUUCCCGUACCGGCUGUAACUGCGAUGGGGAGACGGAGAAGGCUAGGCCAGCAUGGUGAUGGUUAUCCAUGUUUAAGGGUGUAGGCUGGUGGAGUAGGUAAAUCCGCUCUGCUAAGGCUGAGACUUGAUGACGAGACUCGUAUGAGUUGAAGUGGUUGAUGCCCUGCUUCCAGGAAAAUCCUCUAAGCUUCAGGUUACAGACGACCGUACCCCAAACCGACACAGGUGGUCAGGUUGAGAAUACCAAGGCGCUUGAGAGAACUCGGGUGAAGGAACUAGGCAAAAUGGUGCCGUAACUUCGGGAGAAGGCACGCCGAUGAAGGUGAAGGACUUGCUCCGUAAGCUUUUGUCGGUCGAAGAUACCAGGUGGCUGCGACUGUUUAUUAAAAACACAGCACUCUGCAAACACGAAAGUGGACGUAUAGGGUGUGACGCCUGCCCGGUGCCGGAAGGUUAAUUGAUGGGGUUAUCUUCGGAGAAGCUCUUGAUCGAAGCCCCGGUAAACGGCGGCCGUAACUAUAACGGUCCUAAGGUAGCGAAAUUCCUUGUCGGGUAAGUUCCGACCUGCACGAAUGGCGUAACGAUGGCCACACUGUCUCCACCCGAGACUCAGUGAAAUUGAACUCGCUGUGAAGAUGCAGCGUCCCCGCGGCUAGACGGAAAGACCCCGUGAACCUUUACUAUAGCUUCACAGUGGACUUUGAAUUUGUUUGUGUAGGAUAGGUGGGAGGCUUAGAAGCGUGGACGCUAGUCUGCGUGGAGCCAACCUUGAAAUACCACCCUGACAACUUUGAGGUUCUAACUUAGAUCCGUUAUCCGGAUUGAGGACAUUGUGUGGUGGGUAGUUUGACUGGGGCGGUCUCCUCCCAAAGCGUAACGGAGGAGCACGAAGGUACCCUCAGGCUGGUCGGAAAUCAGCCAAUGAGCGCAAGAGUAGAAGGGUGCUUGACUGCGAGACAGACACGUCGAGCAGGUGCGAAAGCAGGUUCUAGUGAUCCGGUGGUUCUGAAUGGAAGGGCCAUCGCUCAACGGAUAAAAGGUACUCCGGGGAUAACAGGCUGAUACCGCCCAAGAGUUCACAUCGACGGCGGUGUUUGGCACCUCGAUGUCGGCUCAUCACAUCCUGGGGCUGAAGCCGGUCCCAAGGGUAUGGCUGUUCGCCAUUUAAAGUGGUACGCGAGCUGGGUUUAGAACGUCGUGAGACAGUUCGGUCCCUAUCUGCCGUGGGCGUUUGAGAUUUGAGAAGAGUUGCUCCUAGUACGAGAGGACCGGAGUGAACGAACCUCUGGUGUUCCGGUUGUCACGCCAGUGGCAUUGCCGGGUAGCUACGUUCGGACAGGAUAACCGCUGAAAGCAUCUAAGCGGGAAGCCCCCUUCAAGAUGAGAUCUCACUGGGCCCUUGAGGCCCCUAAAGAGUCGUCCGAGACCAGGACGUUGAUAGGCAGGGUGUGUAAGCGUUGU